UACGGGGGGAGCAAGCGUUGUUCGGAUUUACUGGGCGUAAAGGGCGCGUAGGCGGCCACCGCAAGUCGACUGUGAAAUCUCCGGGCUUAACCCGGAAAGGUCAGCCGAUACUGCGGGGCUAGAGUGCAGAAGGGGGCAACUGGAAUUCUCGGUGUAGCGGUGAAAUGCGUAGAUAUCGAGAGGAACACCUGCGGCGAAGGCGGGUUGCUGGGCUGAUACUGACGCUGAGGCGCGAAAGCCAGGGGAGCGAACGGG
This 255-nucleotide ribosomal RNA is filed under the name uncultured bacterium. RNAcentral describes it as "partial 16S ribosomal RNA". It matches the Rfam family "Bacterial small subunit ribosomal RNA", at positions 524 to 776 of the family's 1533-position model. The record is from RNAcentral.